RNAcentral lists this long non-coding RNA (1585 nucleotides) under Homo sapiens (human). RNAcentral's name for it is "ZNF276 antisense RNA 1". Lineage: Eukaryota; Metazoa; Chordata; Mammalia; Primates; Hominidae. The record is from RNAcentral.
AUUGGAGGAGCUGCUCCCUUCCCCGUUCAGCUGUAAUUGUCUGAAUAUUUAUUUCUCGGCAUUCACUGCAGAACAAGCUGCAAGUGGUGACUCGGACGUGAUCAAGUGGUGACUCGGACAUGAUCAAGUGGUGACUCCGACGUGAUUGCCUUGAAGUUAUGCAUGGAGUAGGAUGACUCACCAAUCUUCGGGGAAUACCGGACUAGAGUGGAUCCCCAUAAAAUGAGUGAAGCCAUAAUAUGAGUUAGAGACUACUGAAAAAGCCCCUCCUGAUGAUGAAGGACCUGUCAUUGGAGAAUCGACCAAAACUGACAGUGAUAACUUGGAAGGCACCUGACAUUACCUGGGGACAGCUAAAGAAACUGGACCAACAGGGAACUAUCUGGCUUGCAUCUAUGGGAGCCCCUGAAACUGCAGAGAACCAGUUUCUUAUGUAUCUGAUGGUAAUUGGGGGAGCUUCUGAGAAGGCUUUCCAGAAACGGUUUCCUUUGGAAUGCAGCUUUCCAAAUCACUUUAAAGACUGGCUUUCUUCUUGACGUUGGACCUCUCAUCCAGGUCAUCUGUUGUAUUCACUCUCACCUACCUGGGGGUUCAUCCACCAUCUCAUCUCGCUUCAUAUUCCAGGGCUCUUUUUCUUUCUCCAGACAGAUGAUGAGGUCUGGCUUAGAGACAGCAAUACCUGUUUUAUUAAAAAUAAUUAACAUGAAUCUUGCUCAUAUUCUCCAAUUACCAACUUAGUAAUGUGCAAAGUAAAAGGGAUAUAAUAGAAUAUUCUAAUAAAUUUAUCCCAUAUACUAAUUUAUAACAGAAAUUUUUAAAUAUUUACAGAAUAUUUUAAUUUUGUAGGUUCUUAAUUUCACUGCCUGGUACUACUGAAGCAAAAAUUGGUAAUGGCACUUGGAUUUUAAGGUGUGAAUAACAAUAUUUUAUGCCACUAAGGUUCUGAAAUUACCACUAAUCUAAAGCGAAAGACACAGAUCAGCUCAGGAAUGUGGAAAUUUCAGGUCAGGAUGAAACAUCUUGAAGAAAUUUUUUCUAAACAGACAAAUCCCCAGGAUUUUCUUGAAAACAGAAAUAGGAAAGCAUAAAUUACCAGAAAACAUACUACAAAAGAAAAAUAAAAGCUUUAGUUUAUAUUAAAAAUUUUGUAUUAAAGUUAUCCUCACCCAGGAAGGCCAGGUUUCUGUAGUUCUCUAACAUCACAUUCCUAUAUAAAUUCUUCUGUGCAGUGUCCAGGCACUGCCACUCCUCCAGAGAGAAUUCUAUGGCCACAUCCCUAAAUGUCAACAGUCCCUGGAAAAUACACACAAACACACAUAUUUACAAAGUGGCUAUGGGCAGAAUUUUUCAUUUGACUCAAGGUAAAAUCAGAAAGUGAAUAGAAUUGAUUCUAACUUAUAAGAGGGACUGAAAUUAUCCAAUAAAAUAAUUGUCAAAACACAAACAUUUUCUAAUGUAUUCUCUAACUCUGAGAAAAGAGACUGGCAUAAUAUCCAGAACAUCAGUGUAUAUAUGAUACUUUUCUGAAUGAUAAAGUGUAAAAAUGUACUAACAUGUACAUUUUUGAGUACAGUAUUUACAUAAU